UCCCUGGUAGUAUAUCGGUUAGUACACGCGCCUGUCAUUGUCCAUGAGUGAUCGCGCGAAAGCUGGGUUCGACUCCCAGCCAGGGAG
This 87-nucleotide transfer RNA is filed under the name Marasmius oreades (fairy-ring Marasmius). Its description in RNAcentral is "tRNA-Asp". It matches the Rfam family "tRNA". Rfam says of the family: Transfer RNA (tRNA) molecules are approximately 80 nucleotides in length. Their secondary structure includes four short double-helical elements and three loops (D, anti-codon, and T loops). Lineage: Eukaryota; Fungi; Basidiomycota; Agaricomycetes; Agaricales; Marasmiaceae. The record is from RNAcentral.